CGUAGGAGACGAGCGUUAUCCGGAUUUACUGGGCGUAAAGCGCGUGCAGGCGGUUCGGCAAGUUGGAUGUGAAAUCUCCCGGCUCAACUGGGAGGGGUCGUUCAAUACUACCGAACUUGAGGAUGGUAGAGGAAGGUGGAAUUCCCGGUGUAGUGGUGAAAUGCGCAGAUAUCGGGAGGAACACCAGUGGCGAAAGCGGCCUUCUGGACCAUUCCUGACGCUCAGACGCGAAAGCUAGGGGAGCGAACGGGAUUAGAGACCCCGGUAGUCCUAGCUGUAAACCAUGCAAACUUGGCGUCGGUGGGUUAAAAACCAUCGGUGCCGAAGCUAACGCGAUAAGUUUGCCGCCUGGGGACUACGGCCGCAAGGUUA
This 372-nucleotide ribosomal RNA is filed under the name uncultured organism. RNAcentral describes it as "bacterial SSU rRNA". It matches the Rfam family "Bacterial small subunit ribosomal RNA", at positions 526 to 896 of the family's 1533-position model. The record is from RNAcentral.